Molecule: ribosomal RNA, 465 nt
Filed under: Granulicatella elegans
Lineage: Bacteria; Bacillati; Bacillota; Bacilli; Lactobacillales; Carnobacteriaceae
Description: bacterial SSU rRNA
Rfam family: Bacterial small subunit ribosomal RNA
Source: RNAcentral
GACGAACGCGGCGGCGUGCCUAAUACAUGCAAGUCGAACGAGAGCGACCGGUGCUUGCACUGGUCAAUCUAGUGGCGAACGGGUGAGUAACACGUGGGUAACCUGCCCAUCAGAGGGGGAUAACAUUCGGAAACGGAUGCUAAAACCGCAUAGGUUCUACAGUCGCAUGACUGAAGAAGGAAAAGAGGCUUCGGCUUCUGCUGAUGGAUGGACCCGCGGUGCAUAGCUAGUUGGUGAGGUAACGGCUCACCAAGGCCGUGAUGCAUAGCCGACCUGAGAGGGUGAUCGGCCACAUUGGGACUGAGACACGGCCCAAACUCCUACGGGAGGCAGCAGUAGGGAAUCUUCCGCAAUGGACGCAAGUCUGACGGAGCAACGCCGCGUGAGUGAAGAAGGAUUUCGGUUCGUAAAACUCUGUUGUUAGAGAAGAACAGCGCAUAGAGUAACUGUUAUGCGUGUGACGGA